RNAcentral lists this ribosomal RNA (460 nucleotides) under uncultured bacterium. RNAcentral's name for it is "partial 16S ribosomal RNA". It matches the Rfam family "Bacterial small subunit ribosomal RNA", at positions 338 to 795 of the family's 1533-position model. The record is from RNAcentral.
CCUACGGGUGGCAGCAGUGAGGAAUAUUGGUCAAUGGGCGUAAGCCUGAACCAGCCAAGUCGCGUGAGGGAUGAAGGUUCUAUGGAUCGUAAACCUCUUUUAUAAGGGAAUAGAGUGUGGGACGUGUCCUGUUUUGUAUGUACCUUAUGAAUAAGGAUCGGCUAACUCCGUGCCAGCCGCCGCGGUAAUACGGAGGAUCCGAGCGUUAUCCGGAUUUAUUGGGUUUAAUGGGUGCGUAGGCGGCCUUUUACGUCAGCGGUUCAAGUCUGUGGCUCAACCAUCGAAGUGCCGUUGAAACUGGGAGGCUUGAGUAUGUUUGAGGCAGGCGGAAUGCGUGGUGUAGCGGUGAAAUGCUUAGAUAUCACGCAGAACCCCGAUUGCGAAGGCAGCCUGCCAAGCCAUGACUGACGCUGAUGCACGAAAGCGUGGGGAUCAAACAGGAUUAUAUACCCGGGUAGUC